AAAAACGAGAGUUGAGAAGGAAAACCAAAAUAUCAUCCCAACUUGGUUGCGUUUGGGUCCUCGGAACUCUUUGUUUACACGAUGUUCGAGUACCCAAACCACAAAACCAAUGAAAACGAAGAAUGCUCCAGUUGUUAUCCAAAGCUCGCUCUUUAGAGGUUUCAAGAAAAUCCAAGCAUCCCUCCUAUCAUCAUCCCUUACCGGCACAACUACAGAAAUACCUGACUCUAUAAAAGGUAAUGUGAAAUCCACAUACUCUGACCGGCUCGCUAAAAUGGUCACAUCACCUACAACUGCAUCAUAGUCCUGGCUCAAGCAAACAUUGAUUAUUCCAGUAUGUAUAGUUGAUUGUAAUAGCAGAAAAUAGAUAUCGAAGUCCCAAAAAGGGCCAUGUUAGUAAGAUAUAGAGCCAAAGAGGUUUAUUGGAACAGAGAUUAUAUAUUACCUGAGAGGUGAUCUUGUGAACAAGAUCAUCAUAGUCUGGAAGAGUGAGGGGAUCUUGUAUUGGAAAUGGAAUAAAUUCGUAAGGGAGAGCAUAUGGCAAAGAUAGGAUGACUUCUUUGAAGACAUCUGCACAGAAACCAGUUGCUGUUACUGCUUGUGUUUUUGAAUCUCUUUCCACUUUAAUGAGUUGCUCCAGCCCUCCUUUGAGAGGAACUCCAACCCUUAACUUCUUCCCACUUGUGGGCAUUUCCCAGCCUCUUGGAACAAUAGUUGAUUCACCAGGCCAAAAAAUGGCUCCUAGUUGCUUAUUAUUACACUUAACUGCUGUUUUACCAUUCAUCUUCAGUUUACACGAAAUGCCAUCCCUCUUCGUCCAAAAUCCAAUGUUUUUCUCUCCUUUCCCAAUUAUAUUCACAAUCUGAUAUGGGAUUGGCUGCAGUUCUCCAUUGAUGAUACGGAAAUCACCACUUAAUCCUUGUUUUAGCACUGUGUUUCGCAUAGAGUCAAUGAGCAGAGAUCCCACUGCUGACGUUCCAAGUGCAUCUAAGUCUGUUAAGUUCUCUCUGGUGUCUGGUUUCUUUAAUUUUGGGAUAGCAGUAGUGCCUACUUUAUCUACUGCUUCUGCUAAUGAGGUGAUGCUAUCGUAUGCCCAUAGCCCAAAAACAUUGAGUUCUAUUUGGUCCAUGUCUGGAUACUCUUGACGGAAUCUCUUUCUCCAUCUCUUUGUGUAGUUGUUAAGCUGAUUUGAUCUUGGAAUGUAAGGUUUUAUACCAAGAACACCUUGCAUUGAUGACUCGAUCACUGAAUGAUCUACCAAGUCCAGAAGACUCGUUAGCACAUCUGUGAUGAUCCAUGCAUAUCCACUGCUCAUCAUCCCUGCUUCUUUGGCCUUGAGAAAAAGGCGGGAGGCAAGAUAUGGACGCAAGUGCACGACGAACACCCUUGUUUGCUUUGUAUUCAUAUUGUAUAACUCCUUGAGAAUCUGAUCAUCAUUGGCUGACGGAGAAAUAACACUUCUAUAGGAGACUAAAGUGCUGAUUUCCAGUAAGGCAUCAGUCAAAUGUGGAACUAUCCCGAACCCAUAGGGGCUAUCCUCAUAGAUGACCACAACCUCCCUCCAAUCAAAGUUUUUAACAAGUGCUGCAAUGGCCUUAGUCUGGCUGGAAGAAGGAAGUGCUGCUCUGAUGAAGAAGGGAUUUUCCUUGACUGUAAGUAAAGGACUUGUUGCUGGAGAAAUGAUUGGGACUUUUACUCUGUUCCCUAAGUCGAUCACAAAAUCAGUUUGUGUAGACAUUUGUGGCCCAAAGAUAGCUUGUACUUGGACAUCCUUUAGCAAGUAUAUGGCUGCACAUACACAAUCAGACAAUAAGAAUUUACCCAAAGUAAGAGUUUAAUAGAAGUGAAUCAUGGAACUGAAUUUACCAGCAGAUGUUGCUUCAACAUCAUCUUUCUUGGAAUCCUUGAUAUGAGGAACUAUCCUUAUGGCACCGCGACUAGCGUUGGCAUGAUAAUCUUCAAGUGCUAGUAAGAUAGAUAUGUGCAUUACUUUUCCCACAUCUGUUUCCAGAUCAAGAAUUAUACCCACAUCCACCUUUACAGCACUAGUGUUAUUAUCUUCACCUCUUAUUCGAACCACAUAGUGGUAAAAGCUAAUGAUGGAGAUAAGUUGAAAUGAAAAGAAUUAGAAAAGUGGCAUCUUGGAUUAUGCAUUUGAAAAAACUCUGGUAGCAAGUAGUCUGAGAGAUGGGCAACAAGCAGUUGUGCUUGUGCAAGAUAACCACACAUUCAGAAUGACAAUUUUCCUAUAAUUAAUAAGACCAAACUCCAUAAAUGAAGAAAGAAAAGUCAAAGAACAAAUGGUUGAAAAUCAAGUAUUCGUUUGAUUAUUGAAAGUGAGGACUUUUCACAUAUGCUACAACCGCACAGCUAGUAAGCAUAUUACCCCUCAGGUUUGACUAAAUAAAAAUUUGACAAAAUUGAUUGGUACUCAUUCCCCAACACCCAAUUACUUUUUGUGUGUACUAUCUAGAGGAUAUAUUCAAGGGAACUUACAUGAAUUCAACUAAUUUAGGAGUUAAUUACUUAAAUACAUUGUAGUUUGCAAUAUUACGUAUUUUACUAGAUUUUGGUAUGUCCAGAUACAUUCAGAUACAUAUAUGUGAGGUUACUUAGGAUCAAAAUUAGGUGUAAUUUGCUCUAGAUGCAUUGUAUCUAAGUGACUUUGCAUGUAUCUGGGAUACAUAACAAAUCUCGCUCGCCUCUCUCCCAUCUCUCACUCUCCUAUGUAUCUGAUAUUCCAUAUACAUGUGAAUCACACCAGAUACAUACACAUAAAUGUAUCUUAUGUGUAUAUAGUGUGAUUCGCAUGUAUCUGGGAUACAUAACAAAUCCCGCUUGCCUCUUUCCUCAUCUCGUUCCCCUAUCUUCCUAUUUUUGUGUAUCUGAUGGCAAAAAUUCAUGUAGCCAAAUGUAUUUUCCUCAAUAUAUGAUAGGAAACUCUUAAUUAGUGAUAGUAUACGAAAUAUUUUAAAAGUAUAGAAUAUAAUAGUAUAUAUGAUAGUGAAGUAUGUCUAAUGAUAUAGUUUUUCUGUAUUGAAAGGACUUCCCAAAUUUUGGCUGAGGCAUAAAAAGUUGACAAAUUUAGCUCAGUUACAAAUUCCACAAUUAAACCAAUAAGUAGAAGAGACCAUUGUUUUCCAACUUGGACAAGGCUAGAUACGACUAGUAAUCUUUAGUUUACGCGUUUUCAGUUACUAGUCUUUGGACACGUGCGUUGCACGUAUAUCCCAUAUUAUAUGGUUGCAUAAUAUAUGUCUAUAGUUACAAAUAUAUGUAUAAAAAAAAAUUGAUUGUGAUAUAAAUUGGAAAACAUGUAUAAGAUAAGAAAUCAAAACAGAUACCCUCAAAUUUCAAACUAUAAGCAUAAUAAGAAUAUGUAUUUCUAAUGAGUUUAAUCAAUCAUACCUUGCAAUAAUCUCUGCAAUUCAUUGAGAAACUUUCAAUCCAUACAUCAACAUUCAAUCGUGUAUAUAUAAAGAAAACUUGAAAUGCAUAACAACAAUUAUAUCUAUAUUUUUUAAAACACUAUAAAGUCAUUUUUUCUUUUUGCAUUAUAAUAUGGAUUGCACACAAUUUCUAUUAAAAAAAAGAAAGACAAAAUUAGGAAAAAUCGUAUCAAUAAAUUGGAAUGAAAAAUGUAAAAUUGUAAUAAGAGGAAGAGAAGAAAAAUACAGUAGAAUAUAUUACCUAACCAUGAAUAAGGAAGUAUGUUGAGUAAAAGAAGAGUAAUGCAAAAGUGUGAACUGAUAUAUGGAGGAAAUUGACAAAUAUAAUAAUCUAUAUUGAAUAAUGAAAAACAACUCUUCAAUUUCUGCAAAAAUUUUAUAACUACGAGCUCAAAAUAAUAUAAAUUUAUUAAUUUAAUAAAUGACAUAAAUAAAUAAAUAACAUAUAUUGUGUGUAUGUGUAGUUAAUGGGGUAGUGAAAAAGACUCUUUCUGAAAUUAUUUUUAUCUCUUUAAAGUAAUUUUGAACUUUUGAUAUUAGUGCUAUAGAAAAUCAUAUAAAGUCAUAAGCCACUGCAAGUUUUUAUAGUAAUUAUCUUAUUAAAUUAUAUACCUAUUAUUAUUUUUAAUUAUUUAUAAUCAUUCCGAAAAUGUAUAAAUUAAUUUUGAAAAGCUUGUAAAAUGAGAAAUUAUUAUUUCUUAUCAUUAUUUUAGCUAUUAUUAACAUUUAGUAUGACAACAUUUUAAAAAAGCAGCUUCCUUUAAAUAUUAAUUGUUUCUAAAUUAACAUAGCCAAGAAUUUAAAAUGUUGUGACGUUUUGUUUAUCUAAACACGCAGAAUUUUGUUUUUGAACCUGGAACAUGUAAUUAAGCCUUGGGUGAAUUAUAAUUUUAUUUUUACUAUUUAAUUAAUUAAAUAAUUUGUAACAUUUUAAUAUAAUGAAGGGGUAAAAUGGUAACUCAACUUUAAAGGUUGGAGCUUCCCACUUUUAGUAAUAUAUGAUAAAUUGGUCAGUAGUAGUAACCUAGUUUAAUUUGAUAUAAUAACAUUCAUGACAAAAUAAAUUAAAUAUGGCUAAUUAAGAAAAUAUAAUUAAAUAUGAUUAUCUUUAAUGUUAUUUAAAUUUGUAGGCGAUUUUUUUUGUAUUUUAAAAUUAAAAAAAGGCCAAAAAACCCACAAAAAGAGAUAAAUAGGAUUGAAGCCCUUAGAGAGCGUCACCUCACCGUUUUCAUAUUCAACUUUAUUAUUAUAUAUGGAUUUAGAUUUUUGCACAACCUUAAAUUUAAGGACACAUUUAGAUAUUAUAUCAAACAUUCAUUUAUUUGAAGUUGAAAUUACAUUUUACAUGAAAAUUGGAUAUUCCAUAUUCACAUUGAGUAUGAAUCUUUUUGUUUUUUUUACAAAAUUCAAAAUAAAAAAAUACAAAACAUAAACUUAUAGAUCAAAUUUUACAUUUGACAUUUGAAAGUUUUACUUUUCAUUAAACGUUUUGUUAUAGAAUUUGGAAUCGCCCUUUGAAAUUAGUAUUUAUAAAUGAAAAUAUUGAUCUAGUCCUGUUGAAAUUGUGUCUGGCCUAGUACUUUUUCUUAUUAGAGUGAUUAUUGAAUUAGGUUUAAUAUCAAUUUUCUUAAUUAGUUUUGUCAAUUGGCAGUGCUAAGAAGAUGGGAAUUUACGUUAUAUUAAAUUAUCUUUACAUUAAUAAAAAAAGAAAUUGUUGUUAGUAUUAUUUGUAAUAUAAUUAAACAAAAAUAACAAUGGGAAGAAAAUAAUAAGUAAAGAUUACACGUUGUAUUAAAAUAAUAAGUAUUAAAAAUUAUGAUAAAUUUUAUAAUAGUCAUAACAGGAAUUUACGCAAUAAUUACUAUAUUAGAAUACUAGAAAAAUUGAUAAGUUCCUCGACAUCUAAUCAUUGAUUAAAAUUUAAAUUAUUAUUUUCUUCUGCGAAAGUUUAAGAGAUUAAAUUAAUGUUUUAAAAAAUAAUAUUAAUUAUUUUCAAUGAUUAAUAAGAAAAUGUAUAUAGCAAGUACAUGUAUUAUUAUUACAUUAUUUAUAUCCACUCUAUAUUAAAUCAUUUUUCUAUUAUAGUUUGACGCAAAUUUCAGAAUGUAAAGAAUGUUUUGGAUUCGAAAAAUAAAUAUUCAAAAUAUACUAACAUGUCAUUUAAUCUUAUGAUAUUUUACAUUUCAUGUGAAAAAAAAUUAAAUAUUAAUUUUUUAAUAUGAAAAAUAUUAAUUUAUUAAUACAACAUAAAAGUAAUAAAGGACAAUAUAUAAAAAUAUUUGAAGUAUUUGAUAUUUUAUUAAAUUAAAAUAAUUCUAAAUUAAUAUAUAGCCGCGCAACGCGCGGGUACGUAUACUAGUGAAGAACAAUAAUAAAGAAGAAGACAAUUGAGUUAAUAUUUAUUUUUUCCAAGUUUAAUUUAACACAUGACCAGUUUUUAUUGGUCAGUGCUGUCAAAAAGUUGCACCCACGCGCCUAAAAUAGGUGAAAUCACGGACUCAGCCACGUAGGCCAAAAAGUGGUAAACAAUUAACUAAAAAAUAAGUUCAGGGGGGUAAUAGGACUUUAGUAAAGGUUAGGUGUGUCUCAGGGAUUUUGGGCAUAGGCUGGGGGGGUACUUAUGCAUUUUCCCUUAUGUUAAAUAUACCAAAAUGUUUUUUAAUCUUAUGACUUUAAACAUGUCACGUGAAAAACUGAAAUUAAAGUGUUGCCAAAAAAAGAAGGGUCAUUUUUUUUAAACAGACUAAACAGAAAAGUAGAUCUUUUUAAAACGGAAGGGAAGUAAUUGUUAAUGCAAGAGGAAGCUGCUUGAAAAGUUACGUAUAUGAUGUUGAAGUUGUCUAACAUGCAAUGCUGGUCCUAUAAUCUUUCAUUAUUUAUUAUCCAUGACUAUGGGUGGAUAAUAAUAGUUAUCUGCUAUGAUCAUAUAUACCUAGGGGUGGACAUAUUACUUAGAAAACUUAUGUUAGGUAAUUUUGAUUUCUAAAAAUACUAUAUGGUGUAUGCUAUUUGCAGAUGAUAGUCCUAAUCGACCAGACUCGUAAUAGAGUUAAUGUUAAGCUAGAGAAGAUAAUAAUGGCUCCCUUCUCAAAUAUUUCAUUGGUAGAAAUUUGCCUUCCAGAAUUUCAUAAUUGCAUCUGAUCCUUUCUGAUAACUCAAAGGGCAUCUUAAAUUGGUGCGGAAGUUUAAUUUUGACAUGGAACGCAAAUAUAUGCGGAAAAUUAGUAAUUCAAUAAAUAUUUAAUUAUGAAUGCAUAUUACAAAAGUGCAAGGAAUUCAAUUGUAAGAUGUUGAAGGUUAAACCCAUAAAUUCUAAAUACUAGAGACGCCUCUUAAUGCAAAUAUAAUAUGGUUUAACUAUUUUAAACCUGGCUCAUCUCUCUUAAGUUGUCCCUGUAAUGUUUUCAUGAACUGGAGUUCCAGGUUCUGUUGUAGAGAACCCUUCAAGUGCAGGGGAUGCUCCUAAGCCGUCGGAAAUUCUGAUUUCUGGGCUUUGCAAAGGAAGGUGGGGCAAUAUUUCAGUAGAGGCUUCACUUUCUGCAAACAGCAUAGCUGUUUGGAUUUCAUUGCCUUCAGAUGGCUCUUCUGACAUAGAAUUAGAGUUGUCUCUCUCUUUAUCAAAGGCAUUUGCUAUUGCAGAAAGCUUUUGCCAUACUGAAUCAUCAGUGGCUAAGAUUUCUCUAUUCUGAUAAAGGAAGAUGAGGAAGAAUAGGAGAAGAGCGGAGCCCGCUGAUACACCAGCUAUGAGGAAAAGGCCCUUAAAACUAUCGAGCAUGAGGCUAGAUGCUAUAGCCAUUCCAUCUUGCUUUGGACAAUCUGUUUCAUUCCCAAACCAUUUCUGUAUUAUGUUAUUCAUAAACUCUCCUUCCAUCACCUGCAAGACUGCUCUUGAGACGUCAGGUACCAAAGGAGAUCCUUUUGGAAAUGCCUGCCAGAAGUUGGGGGAAAAUAAAAGAUUAAAUUAUUGAGUAGAACAUAAACCAUUCUAAACAAAUGUAAACACGUUCUGAAACAUCACUGGAGUGCAACAUUCUUACGAAUCCAAAGCCAGCAGCCUUGUAUGUCGGACCGACCAUAAUAUACUUCCUGCAAUACUUGUUGAGGAAGAGUCUGAGAUAAGGUAGUUCAUCAACAAUUGCACCAACACCUCCAUUUUUACUUCCUCUUGAGAGGGCAUUACUAUACUCUUCCAAUGUGCUAUAACUUAUGAACUUGGAACUGUCAAACUUCAUGUGCUUCAAGACAUCUUUGACAAAGGAACCUUCUUGGUACCCAACAUAUUCUCCAUUCUUGAUCAGAUCAUUGAGGUCAGUUAUAGAAGGUUGGAGCUGUUGCACUGUCAACAUAGAUGUUAAGUUGGCUGUAUAACUUGAUGUCAGCACCAGAACCACGAAAACCCACACAAUCAGCACAAAUCUUGUGAAGUUACUAGUAACCCUCUCUCCUGAAACAACCAGCCAUAUAUAUGAUUUGUUGAGAAACAAGGAUAAAUCCUAAAGCUUUUUGUAUAUAAUUUGCUUUGUGUUAGAGACUUACUAUGAGCAAAAACGAGAGUUGAGAAGGAAAACCAGAAUAUCAUCCCAACUUGCUUGUGUUUGGGUCCUCGAAACUCUUUGUUUACACGAUGUUCAAGUACCCAAACCACAAAACCAAUGAAGAUGAAGAAUCCUCCUGUUGUUAUCCAAAGCUCGCUCUUUAGAGGUUUCAAGAAAAUCCAAGCAUUCUUUCUAUCAUCAUUCUUUACCGACACAACAGCAGAAAUACCGGACUCUGAAAAAGGUAAUGUGAAAUCCACAUACUUGGCUCGGCUCGCUAAAAUGGUCACAUCACCUACAACUGCAUCAU
RNAcentral lists this long non-coding RNA (8294 nucleotides) under Solanum tuberosum (potato). RNAcentral's name for it is "long non-coding RNA (STUB_LNC006715)". Lineage: Eukaryota; Viridiplantae; Streptophyta; Magnoliopsida; Solanales; Solanaceae. The record is from RNAcentral.